UACGUAGGGUGCAAGCGUUGUCCGGAAUUAUUGGGCGUAAAGAGCUCGUAGGCGGUCUGUCGCGUCGGCUGUGAAAACUCGGGGCUCAACCCCGAGCCUGCAGUCGAUACGGGCAGACUAGAGUGCGGUAGGGGAGACUGGAAUUCCUGGUGUAGCGGUGAAAUGCGCAGAUAUCAGGAGGAACACCGGUGGCGAAGGCGGGUCUCUGGGCCGAUACUGACACUGAGGAGCGAAAGCGUGGGGAGCGAACAGG
RNAcentral lists this ribosomal RNA (253 nucleotides) under uncultured bacterium. RNAcentral describes it as "partial 16S ribosomal RNA". It matches the Rfam family "Bacterial small subunit ribosomal RNA", at positions 524 to 776 of the family's 1533-position model. The record is from RNAcentral.